RNAcentral lists this ribosomal RNA (556 nucleotides) under Cerinomyces albosporus. Its description in RNAcentral is "eukaryotic LSU rRNA". It matches the Rfam family "Eukaryotic large subunit ribosomal RNA", at positions 51 to 649 of the family's 3401-position model. The record is from RNAcentral. Lineage: Eukaryota; Fungi; Basidiomycota; Dacrymycetes; Dacrymycetales; Cerinomycetaceae.
CGGAGGAAAGAAACUAACAAGGAUUCCCCUAGUAACUGCGAGUGAAGCGGGAAGAGCUCAAAUUUGUAAUCGCUUCGGCGAGUUGUAAACUAGAGAAGCGUUAUCAGGCCCCGACCGCGCUAAAGUCCCUUGGAACAGGGUGUCAUAGAGGGUGAGAAUCCCGUGCUUGGCGUGGCUGCGGGGCUGUAGAGGCGCUCUCGACGAGUCGAGUUGUUUGGGAAUGCAGCUCAAAAUGGGUGGUAAACUCCAUCUAAAGCUAAAUAGUGGCGAGAGACCGAUAGCGAACAAGUACCGUGAGGGAAAGAUGAAAAGGACUUUGGAAAGAGAGUUAAACAGUACGUGAAAUUGCUGAAAGGGAAGCGCUUGGAGUAAGUCGCGUGUGCAGGAAUCAGCUCGCGCAUUUCCUGCYCACGGGCCAGCAUCGACCUCGGGCGGCGGAGAAGGGCUGGAGGAAUGUGGCAUCUUCGGGUGUGUUAUAGCCUCCUGCCGUACACGUCGCGCGGGGUCGAGGACCGCGGCUYUGCCUAGGAUGCUGGCGUAAUGGCUUCAAGCGACC